GUGCAGCAGGCGCGAAACCUCCGCAAUACACGAAAGUGUGACGGGGCCAUCCCGAGUGCCGUCCGCUGAGGACGGCUUUUCCCCAGUGUACAUAGCUGGGGGAAUAAGGAGAGGGCAAGCCUGGUGUCGGCCGCCGCGGUAAUACCAGCUCUCCGAGUGGUGGGGACGCUUAUUGGGCCUAAAGCAUCCGUAGCCGGCUGGGCAAGUCCUCCGUUAAAAUCCAACGAUUCAAUCGUUGGGCUGCGGGGGAUACUGGUCCAGCUUGGGGGCGGGAGAGGCCGACGGUAUUCCCGGGGUAGGGUGAAAUCCUAUAAUCCCGGGAGGACCACC
This 330-nucleotide ribosomal RNA is filed under the name uncultured microorganism. RNAcentral's name for it is "bacterial SSU rRNA". It matches the Rfam family "Archaeal small subunit ribosomal RNA", at positions 330 to 661 of the family's 1478-position model. The record is from RNAcentral.